AUUUAUAUAGUAUAAAUAAAACAUUAUUACAUUUAACUUCCAAUUAAAAAACUUAGUUAAAAAGAACUAAUAUAAAUA
RNAcentral lists this transfer RNA (78 nucleotides) under Pseudomyrmex concolor. Its description in RNAcentral is "tRNA-Gly". Lineage: Eukaryota; Metazoa; Arthropoda; Insecta; Hymenoptera; Formicidae. The record is from RNAcentral.